GCUCUAAUAGCUCAGGCGGUAAGACCGUUUGUCUGGCAGUCGGAGGGUUGCCGGUUCAAACCCUGCCCUGGGCG
This 74-nucleotide transfer RNA is filed under the name Anguilla anguilla (European eel). RNAcentral describes it as "tRNA-OTHER". The record is from RNAcentral. Lineage: Eukaryota; Metazoa; Chordata; Actinopteri; Anguilliformes; Anguillidae.